CAAAAUGCACAGACAGGGAAGAGUACAAUGCCAACCUGCUUUACAGAGAGGGAAAUUUGCCAGCUGAAAGAUUUCCCAUGCAGCCCAUUGGAACGUCACCCUCGAGCAUCUUCCGCCAAAGGCGCGUGCCCGGUAGUGGAAGACGGAUCAAAUCCGUUAUCCGAUUUAAGAGCCGGCAUUUUUUCGCCGGAAAAAAGGUGGUACCGCGAGCGCACUCCAUUCGUCCUUUUA
RNAcentral lists this non-coding RNA (231 nucleotides) under Bacillus sp. (in: firmicutes). RNAcentral describes it as "Bacillus sp. T-box sequence". It matches the Rfam family "T-box leader". Rfam says of the family: Uncharged tRNA acts as the effector for transcription antitermination of genes in the T-box leader family. RNAcentral also lists the same sequence under 1 other name. Lineage: Bacteria; Bacillati; Bacillota; Bacilli; Caryophanales; Bacillaceae. The record is from RNAcentral.